GAACGCACAUUGCGCCCCUUGGUAUUCCAUGGGGCAUGCCUGUUCGAGCGUCAUUUGUACCUUCAAGCUAUGCUUGGUGUUGGGUGUUUGUCCUCUCCCCUGCGUUUGGACUCGCCUUAAAGUCAUUGGCAGCCUGUAUACUGGUUUUGAGCGCAGCACAUUUUGCGUCUUGCAUCUAGUAAUACUAGCAUCCAUCAAGCCCUUUAUCACUUUUGACCUCGGAUCAGGUAGGGAUACCCGCUGAACUUA
RNAcentral lists this unclassified non-coding RNA (249 nucleotides) under uncultured Ophiosphaerella. RNAcentral describes it as "sequence contains 5.8S rRNA gene". The stretch from base 1 to 53 matches the Rfam family "5.8S ribosomal RNA", at positions 102 to 154 of the family's 154-position model. Lineage: Eukaryota; Fungi; Ascomycota; Dothideomycetes; Pleosporales; Phaeosphaeriaceae. The record is from RNAcentral.